UCAAAAACAUGUCUUUUAGAAAAUAAUUUAAAGUCUAAUCUGCCCACUGAUAUAAAUAUUAAAGGGCUGCAGUAUAUUGACUGUACAAAGGUAGCAUAAUCAUUAGUCUUUUAAAUGGAGACUUGUAUGAAAGAUUUAAUGAAAUAUAAUCUGUCUCUUAAUUAAUAAUAAAAUUUUAUUUUUUAGUAAAAAAGCUAAAAUUUAUUUAAAAGACGAGAAGACCCUAUAGAGUUUUAUAUUUAUUUUAUUUAAAAUUAAAUAUUUAAUUUAUAUAAAAAAUAAAAUAAAUAUUAUAUUGGGGUGAUAGAAAAAUUUAUGAAACUUUUUUUAAAUUUUAAACAUUAAUAAAUGAUUAUAUGAUCCAUUAAUAAUGAUUAUAAGAAAAAAUUACCUUAGGGAUAACAGCGUAAUAUUUUUUUUUAGUUCAAAUAAAAAAAAAAGUUUGCGACCUCGAUGUUGGAUUAAAGAUAAAAAUUUAAAUGCAAAAGUUUAAAAUUUUGAUCUGUUCGAUCAUUAAAAUCUUACAUGAUC
RNAcentral lists this ribosomal RNA (531 nucleotides) under Polyura athamas (common nawab). Its description in RNAcentral is "partial 16S ribosomal RNA". The record is from RNAcentral. Lineage: Eukaryota; Metazoa; Arthropoda; Insecta; Lepidoptera; Nymphalidae.